This 254-nucleotide ribosomal RNA is filed under the name uncultured bacterium. RNAcentral describes it as "partial 16S ribosomal RNA". It matches the Rfam family "Bacterial small subunit ribosomal RNA", at positions 524 to 776 of the family's 1533-position model. The record is from RNAcentral.
UACGGAGGGCGCGAGCGUUGUUCGGAAUUAUUGGGCGUAAAGCGCACGUAGGCGGCCCGGUAAGUCUACCUGUGAAAGCCCGGGGCUCAACCCCGGGAGGCCAGGGGAUACUGCCAGGCUGGAGACAAGCAGAGGUGGGUAGAAUUCCGGGUGUAGCGGUGGAAUGCGUAGAGAUCCGGAGGAAUACCAGAGGCGAAGGCGGCCCACUGGGCUUGAUCUGACGCUGAGGUGCGAAAGCGUGGGGAGCGAACAGG